Molecule: ribosomal RNA, 449 nt
Filed under: uncultured bacterium
Lineage: Bacteria
Description: bacterial SSU rRNA
Rfam family: Bacterial small subunit ribosomal RNA
Source: RNAcentral
UGGGGAAUUUUGGACAAUGGGGGAAACCCUGAUCCAGCAAUGCCGCGUGUGUGAAGAAGGCCUUCGGGUUGUAAAGCACUUUUGUCCGGAAAGAAAGCACCCGGGAUAAUACCACGAGUGGAUGACGGUACCGGAAGAAUAAGCACCGGCUAACUACGUGCCAGCAGCCGCGGUAAUACGUAGGGUGCAAGCGUUAAUCAGAAUUACUGGGCGUAAAGCGUGCGCAGGCGGUUUGCUAAGACGGAUGUGAAAUCCCCGGGCUCAACCUGGGAACUGCAUUCGUGACUGGCAAGCUAGAGUAUGGCAGAGGGGGGUGGAAUUCCACGUGUAGCAGUGAAAUGCGUAGAGAUGCGGAGGAACACCGAUGGCGAAGGCAGCCCCCUGGGCCAAUACUGACGCUCAUGCACGAAAGCGUGGGGAGCAAACAGGAUUAGAUACCCCCGUAGUCC